RNAcentral lists this unclassified non-coding RNA (749 nucleotides) under Hevea brasiliensis (rubber tree). The record is from RNAcentral. Lineage: Eukaryota; Viridiplantae; Streptophyta; Magnoliopsida; Malpighiales; Euphorbiaceae.
AUUAUUGUUUAUUUAACUAACGUAAUUAAAAUUUGAUGAUUCUUGAGUCUUAUACAAGCAAAUGAGUUCAGACCAGAUUCAGGUAAACAAAUACUGAAACUACAUGCACCUUUUCAUUCCUGAUAUAACUUGUAUACACAACCAAAUGACUUCUUAGUGCUCCAACCAUACACCGCUAACGUCUAGCAUUUUACAGAAAUCGUACAAAGCAUCUUACUCAAUGCUAAUAAUAGCAGCAAUUGGGAACUGGAUAGUGAGACAAUGACUUCAGAUUCGACAAUUGGCAGUGCAGUAGAUAAAUUGAUUAAUAUCAAGAGUCACUCGGCCUUGCUUGGUUGUGUCAAAUGAAUCAAACAGGUUCCGUGAAGACUGUACAAAGAUACAAAGAGAUAUGAAGUCAUCAAGCCUGAAUUUUCCAUUCUUGUUCCUAUCAAAACUCUCGCAGACAGUGUAUAAUGCUGGAGAGUCGAGGCGGAAUCCAAUUUUUAUCAAGGCCUUCAGCAGAAACUUGUUAAGUUCAACAAACUCUUGAAAACUCAUGGUUCCAUUCUGAUCAAAAUCGCACAUCCUGAUCAUUUGCUGGACAACAGUGAUAGGAAAUUGUAAAUUUCCAAUUGCAAAAGCACUCUUGAGUUGAACUGCAGUGAUACUACCAAUUUUGUCGGUGUCAACCCGCUCGAACCACUCUCUCAAAAUCGCCGAGUUCUCCAUCUUCUCUUCUAACCCUCAACACAAUGAAUGAAAAAUUU